AGCAGCCGCGGUAAUUCCAGCUCCAAUAGCGUAUAUUAAAGUUGUUGCAGUUAAAAAGCUCGUAGUUGAAUUUCGGGAUCAAUACGUCGGUCGUGCUUCGGUACGUACUGGUGUCAUUGAUUUCUCCCUUCUGACGAACCAUGAUGUCAUUAACUUGGUGUCAUGGGAAAUCAGGACUGUUACUUUGAAAAAUUAGAGUGUUUAAAGCAGGCUCACGCUUGAAUACAUUAGCAUGGAAUAAUGAAAUAGGACGUUCGAUCCUAUUUUGUUGGUUUCUAGGAUCAACGUAAUGAUUAAUAGGGAUAGUUGGGGGCAUUAGUAUUCAAUUGUCAGAGGUGAAAUUCUUGGAUUUAUUGAAGACUAACUACUGCGAAAGCAUUUGCCAAGGAUGUUUUCAUUAAUCAAGAACGAAAGUUAGGGGAUCGAAGACGAUCAGAUACCGUCGUAGUC
Molecule: ribosomal RNA, 450 nt
Filed under: uncultured Glomeromycotina
Lineage: Eukaryota; Fungi; Glomeromycota
Description: SSU rRNA
Rfam family: Eukaryotic small subunit ribosomal RNA
Source: RNAcentral